Molecule: ribosomal RNA, 229 nt
Filed under: uncultured bacterium
Lineage: Bacteria
Description: partial 16S ribosomal RNA
Rfam family: Bacterial small subunit ribosomal RNA
Source: RNAcentral
CGGGGUGAGUAAUGCUUGGGAAUCUGGCUUAUGGAGGGGGAUAACUACGGGAAACUGUAGCUAAUACCGCGUAGAAUCGGGAGAUGAAAGUGUGGGACCUUCGGGCCACAUGCCAUAGGAUGAGCCCAAGUGGGAUUAGGUAGUUGGUGAGGUAAAGGCUCACCAAGCCGACGAUCUCUAGCUGGUCUGAGAGGAUGACCAGCCACACUGGGACUGAGACACGGCCCAG